CUCAUUCAUCUCCAAAAUCCCCAAAUUCCAAAAGGCUCAUCUCUUUGUCGACCUCUUCAUCUGAAGCAAUUUCUCUGAAGCUUCAUCUUCUCCGUCUUUGACUUCAUCGUUUUCAUCUUUGUCUUCUUCAUCUGCCAUCAAUUUCCUAACCCUUUGCCACCUCAUCAAGGUUUCUGAUGCCAAUAGUGGAAAUGAACAAGUAAUAUAAGCACGACUCAAGUCGUUACUGGCCACAAGUUCUUUCUUCUUGUAGGUGAUUUGGCCGGGAUGAUAGAGAAAAAUGAGAAAUUGCAUGGAUUGUGAAAAAGAAUUGUACUAAUUGUCUUGAUUCGGAUUGUCAUCAGCGUAUCAUCUGUGACAUUGAUCGUGAUCCAAGCUGCCAUAGUUUGACUGGGGGAAAAGAAAUAAUGGUUCAAUCUCUUUGUUUGUCUAUUAUUGAAUAAAUUCUCUCUUUUUUGAUAACUUGACUGCUUUCUUAUUAUUUUGAGGAUUCAUAUUUUUUCUUACUACUCGAAGACAAGA
This is a long non-coding RNA of Solanum stenotomum, 522 nucleotides long. RefSeq lists it as uncharacterized. The transcript is spliced from 3 exons. The record is from RefSeq and is a predicted model, not a curated record. NCBI's taxonomy places the organism in Eukaryota, Viridiplantae, Streptophyta, Magnoliopsida, Solanales, Solanaceae.